RNAcentral lists this long non-coding RNA (224 nucleotides) under Elaeis guineensis (African oil palm). RNAcentral describes it as "long non-coding RNA (EGUI_LNC053325)". Lineage: Eukaryota; Viridiplantae; Streptophyta; Magnoliopsida; Arecales; Arecaceae. The record is from RNAcentral.
UGACAUCUAACAACAUAUACUAGCAACCUAGCAGAAUAGAAAAGUGAACCCCUAGGUACAGUUAUCGUGUGAGAUAAUUUCUCUAUCGAGAGUCCUGACUUGACAGAGGUCAUGGAGAACUCGUCAAACCCCAUCGUCAGUCAUAUUGCUAAAUUGGCUCGACUCGAGUUCAUUUGUGAAUCUCGUGAAAACUCUUUUCCAGUAUUUACACUUACUCUGGCCAG